GCUGGCGUAGCUCAAUUGGCAGAGCAGCGGUUUUGUAAACCGCCGGUUGGGGGUUCGAUUCCUCUCGCCAGCU
RNAcentral lists this transfer RNA (73 nucleotides) under Nitrospira defluvii. Its description in RNAcentral is "Candidatus Nitrospira defluvii tRNA". It matches the Rfam family "tRNA". Rfam says of the family: Transfer RNA (tRNA) molecules are approximately 80 nucleotides in length. Their secondary structure includes four short double-helical elements and three loops (D, anti-codon, and T loops). Further hydrogen bonds mediate the characteristic L-shaped molecular structure. tRNAs have two regions of fundamental functional importance: the anti-codon, which is responsible for specific mRNA codon recognition, and the 3' end, to which the tRNAs corresponding amino acid is attached (by aminoacyl-tRNA synthetases). tRNAs cope with the degeneracy of the genetic code in two manners: having more than one tRNA (with a specific anti-codon) for a particular amino acid; and 'wobble' base-pairing, i.e. permitting non-standard base-pairing at the 3rd anti-codon position. Lineage: Bacteria; Pseudomonadati; Nitrospirota; Nitrospiria; Nitrospirales; Nitrospiraceae. The record is from Rfam by way of RNAcentral.